UUGGAGGGCAAGUCUGGUGCCAGCAGCCGCGGUAAUUCCAGCUCCAAUAGCGUAUAUUAAAGUUGUUGCAGUUAAAAAGCUCGUAGUUGAAUUUCGGGAUCAAUGUUUCGGUCAUGCCGUUGGUAUGUACUGAUAUUAUUGAUUUCUCACCUUCUAAAGAACCGUAAUGCCAUUAAUUUGGUGUCACGGGGAAUUAGGACUGUUACCUUGAAAAAAUUAGAGUGUUUAAAGCAGGCUUACGCUUGAAUACAUUAGCAUGGAAUAAUGAAAUAGGACAUCCGAUUCUAUUUUGUUGGUUUCUAGGAUCGAUGUAAUGAUUAAUAGGGAUAGUUGGGGGCAUUAGUAUUCAAUCGUCAGAGGUGAAAUUCUUGGAUUUAUUGAAGACUAACUACUGCGAAAGCAUUUGCCAAGGAUGUUUUCAUUAAUCAAGAACGAAAGUUAGGGGAUCGAAGACGAUCAGAUACCGUCGUAGUCUUAACCAUAAACUAUGCCGACUAGGGAUCGGAUGAUGUUAAUUUUUUAAUGACUCAUUCGGCACCUUACGGGAAACCAAAG
This 555-nucleotide ribosomal RNA is filed under the name uncultured Glomus. Its description in RNAcentral is "SSU rRNA". It matches the Rfam family "Eukaryotic small subunit ribosomal RNA", at positions 548 to 1103 of the family's 1831-position model. Lineage: Eukaryota; Fungi; Glomeromycota; Glomeromycetes; Glomerales; Glomeraceae. The record is from RNAcentral.